RNAcentral lists this ribosomal RNA (435 nucleotides) under uncultured bacterium. Its description in RNAcentral is "bacterial SSU rRNA". It matches the Rfam family "Bacterial small subunit ribosomal RNA", at positions 29 to 507 of the family's 1533-position model. The record is from RNAcentral.
AGCGAACGCUGGCGGAAUGCUUAACACAUGCAAGUCGCACGGGGGCUUCGGCCUUAGUGGCGGACGGGUGAGUAACGCGUAGGAAUGUGUCCGAGGAUGGGGGAUAACGUUGGGAAACUGACGCUAAUACCGCAUAACUCCUGAGGGAGAAAGCCGUAAGGCGUCUACGGAGCAGCCUGCGUACGAUUAGCUAGUUGGUUAGGUAAAGGCUGACCAAGGCGACGAUCGUUAGCUGGUCUGAGAGGAUGAUCAGCCACACUGGAACUGAGACACGGUCCAGACUCCUACGGGAGGCAGCAGUGGGGAAUAUUGGACAAUGGGCGCAAGCCUGAUCCAGCAAUUCCGCGUGGGUGAAGAAGGUCUUCGGAUUGUAAAGCCCUUUCGUUGGGGACGAUGAUGACGGUACCCAAAGAAGAAGCCCCGGCUAACUUCGUG